GCCUGGGUGGCUCAGUGGGUUAAGUGUCUGACUUUGGCUCAGGUUGUGAUCUCGUGGUCCAUGGGUUCGAGUCCCAAGUCAGGCU
This 85-nucleotide transfer RNA is filed under the name Felis catus (domestic cat). It matches the Rfam family "tRNA". From Rfam's summary of the family: Transfer RNA (tRNA) molecules are approximately 80 nucleotides in length. Their secondary structure includes four short double-helical elements and three loops (D, anti-codon, and T loops). The record is from Rfam by way of RNAcentral. Lineage: Eukaryota; Metazoa; Chordata; Mammalia; Carnivora; Felidae. RNAcentral also lists the same sequence under 2 other names.